Molecule: ribosomal RNA, 467 nt
Filed under: uncultured bacterium
Lineage: Bacteria
Description: partial 16S ribosomal RNA
Rfam family: Bacterial small subunit ribosomal RNA
Source: RNAcentral
ACGUACGCUGGCGGCGUGCUUAACCCAUGCAAGUCGAACGGAAAGGCCCUGCUUUUGUGGGGUGCUCGAGUGGCGAACGGGUGAGUAACACGUGAGUAACCUGCCCUUGACUUUGGGAUAACUUCAGGAAGCUGGGGCUAAUACCGGAUAGGAGCUCCUGCUGCAUGGUGGGGGUUGGAAAGUUUCGGCGGUUGGGGAUGGACUCGCGGCUUAUCAGCUUGUUGGUGGGGUAGUGGCUUACCAAGGCUUUGACGGGUAGCCGGCCUGAGAGGGUGACCGGCCACAUUGGGACUGAGAUACGGCCCAGACUCCUACGGGAGGCAGCAGUGGGGAAUAUUGCACAAUGGGCGGAAGCCUGAUGCAGCAACGCCGCGUGCGGGAUGACGGCCUUCGGGUUGUAAACCGCUUUCGCCUGUGACGAAGCGUGAGUGACGGUAAUGGGUAAAGAAGCACCGGCUAACUACGUG